This 1116-nucleotide long non-coding RNA is filed under the name Equus caballus (horse). Its description in RNAcentral is "lncRNA (ENSECAG00000057132.1)". The record is from RNAcentral. Lineage: Eukaryota; Metazoa; Chordata; Mammalia; Perissodactyla; Equidae.
CUGGUACGCCUUAGGCAUUGCAUCAGUGUUGAAGGCAGGCCGUGCUAGGCGCUUUGUUCGCUCAGAAGGCCGGGGCUCGUCUGCGCUUGAGGCACUUCGAGGUCCGAGGUCCGCGGGGAGAGCAGGGCAGGCCCGCGGAUUCCGACCCCCAGCGCCGCGGGCACGCGUCACCACGGAGGCGGGUCGGAGCUAUUACUGCCAAGCCAGGGGCAGGCGACGCCCGGCGGGGCCGCAGGGCUCGGAAAGCUUCGCAGAGGCUUGGACUUCGGCUGGGUCUGCAGAAUUCGACUGAAGGAGAAGGUGAAAGGAGGUUCCAGGCGGAGCCACGAGUCCCCUCUAGCCUAGCCCGUCACUGCAGAGAGGAAAGGGUCAGGUGGGGAAACCCAGCCCCUCUCAGCAGGGCGUCUCCCGGGUCCGAGCUCCUCUGUUCCCCGGCGCCACCAGAGUGACCUAGGGCUGCGCAUCUCUGCAAGGGUGGGGCCGGGUGAGGCCCAGUGGACGGGCGCGCCCCGUGCGGAAAGGCGCGUGCAGGUUGGUUCAAGGCCUCAAUCGAAGCCUCCUCCUCCUCCUUCGCUUUUUGGUUCAGGGCUCCAGAGGGACUUCCUGGGCACCUCCUCCCAAUCCGAGGAGCCCGAGCCCCGGAAGGCCAGCCGAUUCUCCGUGACCAGACAGUUCAGUUCCACGCGAAGGGGAAGCAUCCUCGGAACCGCCCGGGCAACGCAGGUUCCGCGGGGCGGGCGCCGCCUCCCACCAGACAGGCCCGGGGCGGUCAGAGCCCGCCUGGCAGGGAGCGCACCGACAGCUCCGGGAGAGCCUGGCAACCCUCGGGGUGAGAACCCAAACUUGAAGAGCCAGCAGUCCUGAAGAUCUCCACCUGGGCGCGGAGCCAGGCCCAGCGCGCAGCGCGCAACGCGGAGGUGGUCUUGGAGGAACAUUAGCAUUCUGUGAUGAUGGCUGGGUUCACGCUUUCUAAAUCACUGCCUGAGGAUCAUCCACCGCCGGAGUUUUAAGCACUGACUGCCGCUUACCAGCGUGUGACAAGUCACUGACCUCUCCGUGCUGUAGCUUCUUCAUCUCUAAAAUGGGACUAAUAAGCCUGCCUACCUAAUAAAGUGC